GAUGAACGCUGGCGGCGUGCCUAAUACAUGCAAGUCGAGCGAACGGACGAGAAGCUUGCUUCUCUGAUGUUAGCGGCGGACGGGUGAGUAACACGUGGAUAACCUACCUAUAAGACUGGGAUAACUUCGGGAAACCGGAGCUAAUACCGGAUAAUAUUUUGAACCGCAUGGUUCAAAAGUGAAAGACGGUCUUGCUGUCACUUAUAGAUGGAUCCGCGCUGCAUUAGCUAGUUGGUAAGGUAACGGCUUACCAAGGCAACGAUGCAUAGCCGACCUGAGAGGGUGAUCGGCCACACUGGAACUGAGACACGGUCCAGACUCCUACGGGAGGCAGCAGUAGGGAAUCUUCCGCAAUGGGCGAAAGCCUGACGAAGCAACGCCGCGUGAGUGAUGAAGGUCUUCGGAUCGUAAAACUCUGUUAUUAGGGAAGAACAUAUGUGUAAGUAACUGUGCACAUCUUGACGGUACCUAAUCAGAAAGCCACGGCUAACUACGUGCCAGCAGCCGCGGUAAUACGUAGGUGGGCAGCGGUAUCCGGAAUUUAUGGGCGUAAAGCGCGCGUAGGCGGUUUUUUAGUCUGAUGUGAAAGCCCACGGCUCAACCGUGGAGGGUCAUUGGAAACUGGAAAACUUGAGUGCAGAAGAGGAAAGUGGAAUUCCAUGUGUAGCGGUGAAAUGCGCAGAGAUAUGGAGGAACACCAGUGGCGAAGGCGACUUUCUGGUCUGUAACUGACGCUGAUGUGCGAAAGCGUGGGGAUCAAACAGGAUUAGAUACCCUGGUAGUCCACGCCGUAAACGAUGAGUGCUAAGUGUUAGGGGGUUUCCGCCCCUUAGUGCUGCAGCUAACGCAUUAAGCACUCCGCCUGGGGAGUACGACCGCAAGGUUGAAACUCAAAGGAAUUGACGGGGACCCGCACAAGCGGUGGAGCAUGUGGUUUAAUUCGAAGCAACGCGAAGAACCUUACCAAAUCUUGACAUCCUUUGACAACUCUAGAGAUAGAGCCUUCCCCUUCGGGGGACAAAGUGACAGGUGGUGCAUGGUUGUCGUCAGCUCGUGUCGUGAGAUGUUGGGUUAAGUCCCGCAACGAGCGCAACCCUUAAGCUUAGUUGCCAUCAUUAAGUUGGGCACUCUAAGUUGACUGCCGGUGACAAACCGGAGGAAGGUGGGGAUGACGUCAAAUCAUCAUGCCCCUUAUGAUUUGGGCUACACACGUGCUACAAUGGACAAUACAAAGGGCAGCGAAACCGCGAGGUCAAGCAAAUCCCAUAAAGUUGUUUUCAGUUCGGAUUGUAGUCUGCAACUCGACUACAUGAAGCUGGAAUCGCUAGUAAUCGUAGAUCAGCAUGCUACGGUGAAUACGUUCCCGGGUCU
This 1371-nucleotide ribosomal RNA is filed under the name uncultured bacterium. Its description in RNAcentral is "bacterial SSU rRNA". It matches the Rfam family "Bacterial small subunit ribosomal RNA", at positions 28 to 1381 of the family's 1533-position model. The record is from RNAcentral.